This is a long non-coding RNA of Lathyrus oleraceus (garden pea), 509 nucleotides long. RefSeq lists it as uncharacterized. The transcript has 3 exons. Lineage: Eukaryota; Viridiplantae; Streptophyta; Magnoliopsida; Fabales; Fabaceae. The record is from RefSeq and is a predicted model, not a curated record.
UGUAAGAGAAAGAGAAAGAAAAGGAUAAGAAGAGUAGGUAGUAAGAGAAAAAGAGUUAUCAGAAAGAAAGAAAAGAAGAAAGGGAAGAGUAGAGAAGAGGAAAAGAGAAGAAAGAAGAAGAGAGAAAGAAGGAAGAAAGGCUUGGAGGAGAAAAGGAAAAACUAAUCAUCACCAUUUUCUACUCAUCAUCCUCACCAACUUCAUCUUAUUCUUCUACUAGUUGUAAUUGAACAUGGUUGUUGAGGUUGUUAAGAACAUGUGUUUAUGAGGUUGAGGAGUCCUUGAGUGUUGGUUGCUGAUGGUUUAAUUCUAUCUACUUUUUCAAAAGACAUUCUAAAGGCAGAAUUGAAUGCAGUACACUCAGAGCCUAUUCAAAUUCUUCAAGGUUGGGUUGAAAGUUUUUUCAACUCUAUUAAAAAGUGUGACGUGAAAAAGUUUCGAAAACAAGUAUAUCCAACUGGGUUUCAAUGGUACCUUUAUCCAAUUCAGGUUCGACAGUGAGUUCUGGC